Molecule: ribosomal RNA, 352 nt
Filed under: uncultured bacterium
Lineage: Bacteria
Description: bacterial SSU rRNA
Rfam family: Bacterial small subunit ribosomal RNA
Source: RNAcentral
ACUCCUACGGGAGGCAGCAGUGGGGAAUAUUGCACAAUGGGGGAAACCCUGAUGCAGCGACGCCGCGUGAGCGAAGAAGUAUUUCGGUAUGUAAAGCUCUAUCAGCAGGGAAGAAAAUGACGGUACCUGACUAAGAAGCACCGGCUAAAUACGUGCCAGCAGCCGCGGUAAUACGUAUGGUGCAAGCGUUAUCCGGAUUUACUGGGUGUAAAGGGAGCGUAGACGGAUGGGCAAGUCUGAUGUGAAAACCCGGGGCUCAACCCCGGGACUGCAUUGGAAACUGUUCAUCUAGAGUGCUGGAGAGGUAAGUGGAAUUCCUAGUGUAGCGGUGAAAUGCGUAGAUAUUAGGAGG